GGGGUUGUAGCUCAGUGGUUGAGUGCUUGCUUGCCUGGCAUGCAUGAGGCACUGGGUUCGAUCCUCAGCACCACA
Molecule: transfer RNA, 75 nt
Filed under: Marmota monax (woodchuck)
Lineage: Eukaryota; Metazoa; Chordata; Mammalia; Rodentia; Sciuridae
Description: tRNA.Ala
Source: RNAcentral